Molecule: long non-coding RNA, 711 nt
Organism: Oncorhynchus tshawytscha (Chinook salmon)
Lineage: Eukaryota; Metazoa; Chordata; Actinopteri; Salmoniformes; Salmonidae
Exons: 3
Source: RefSeq, a predicted model, not a curated record
CACAGGUAUACACACCUCAAUACACACAGGUAUACACACACAGGUAUACACACAGGUAUACACACCUCAAUACACACAGGUACAGACACCUGCACUCAAUUCAACUACCGGUAGUGAACACGUGAUCAGAAAUAGUGAAGUCAUGACAGUGUUUUCCUUGCUAUUGUAUCAUACCCCACCUCCCUGUGCAGAUAGGCAAAUGUCUUUAUUCUGUACAUAUCAUAGUCACAACUUCCUUCACAACACUGCCCUUAAAUGAUUGCAUUUCGAAAAGAGAUCUACAUGACCAGAGGUUGUUCUACAUGACCAGAGGUUGUUCUACAUGACCAGAGGUUGUUCUACAUGACCAGAGGUUGUUCUACAUGACCAGAGGUUGUUCUACAUGACCAGAGGUAGUUCUACAUGACCAGAGGUUAUUCUACAUGACCAGAGGUUGUUCUACAUGACCAGAGGUUGUUCUACAUGACCAGAGGUUGUUCUACAUGACCAGAGGUUGUUCUACAUGACCAGAGGUUGUUCUACAUGACCAGAGGUUGUUCUACAUGACCAGAGGUUGUUCUACAUGACCAGAGGUUGUUCUACAUGACCAGAGGUUGUUCUAUAUGACCAGAGGUUGUUCUAUUCUGUUCUAUAUAAAGGUGUGUGUUUGAGAUGGAACAAAUCAACCCUCUUGAACUGAAAUAGGAUGGGGCGGGUAAAAUACAACACACC